CUGGGCCUUUUGCUCACCCUCUGCCCAACCCCAUCUUCUGAGACUGCUGCCUGGACCAGAGAAUCCAGUUUCUACUUGUCCAGGCAAACACUAUGCAUGACAGCCGAAGUUAGAAAGGAACAUGGUAUUUCAGAGAGAGAAAAAAAGAAGUCUAGAGUGCCUAGAGAAGACAGAGCCAAGGAAACAGUGGCUGAAGAUGCAGCUGGAGAAAGAUGCCGGGGCCAUGUAACACACCGCCUUUUAUGCAGCAUUAGAGUCUGCCUUGUGACAUACAGGCCAUUUUGCUGAUAGGUGGAAGACCACUGAUGAGAAUGACGGAAACCAAUGGAGCAAGAGGAGGAGAGGCAUCACUCAGUUAAUCCAGGUUAAUCAGAAUUCCAAAAAAUUCAUCAUUUUGAAGAGUAACUGGUCACUAUCAAGUUCUUCCUGUGAACAUCAGCGUCCUCUUUGAUCCAACGCAUUUUUCUCCCUUUGACCCACAAGCAGCUGAAAUUCUGAGGACCAUAAAGUUCACCCACUUCUUAGAAGUCUGUUUUUAAAGCCCUCAGUUUCGGGGAUGGACAUGUCCUGACCUUGUCUCUGCAACUAUAAAUGUCCUUGAACCUCAGGACAAGCCUGAUACAGCUGACACACCAGAAGGAAAAAAAAAAAAAACCCAUGGGGACAGGUGAUGUUGGCUAACCUAUCUCAACUCUUGCUUUAGUGCCAUGGCUCCCAAAUUGAACGAUGAGUCACCCUGGGAGAUUGCAGUGAACACAGGGGCUUCCGUGCGAUAUUUCAUAUUUCCAGGGGAAACACAGACAUAUUCAACAUUUGUCAGACACUGUGCAAACUAUUAAUUCAAGCUGAUUGUGAAGAAGAGGGAUUGAAGGGAUUAAGAAUAUAUGCAGGAUACCCUCUAAGAAGCUAU
Molecule: long non-coding RNA, 910 nt
Organism: Bos taurus (domestic cattle)
Lineage: Eukaryota; Metazoa; Chordata; Mammalia; Artiodactyla; Bovidae
Source: Ensembl